CCUACGGGGAGGCAGCAGUGGGGAAUAUUGGACAAUGGGCGCAAGCCUGAUCCAGCCAUGCCGCGUGAGUGAUGAAGGCCUUAGGGUUGUAAAGCUCUUUUGCCAGGGAAGAUAAUGACUGUACCUGGAGAAUAAGCCCCGGCUAACUUCGUGCCAGCAGCCGCGGUAAUACGAAGGGGGCUAGCGUUGUUCGGAAUCACUGGGCGUAAAGCGCACGUAGGCGGACUUUUAAGUCAGGGGUGAAAGCCUGAGGCUCAACCUCAGAACUGCCCUUGAUACUGGGAGUCUUGAGUAUGGUAGAGGUUGGUGGAACAGCAAGUGUAGAGGUGAAAUUCGUAGAUAUUUGCUAGAACACCAGUGGCGAAGGCGGCCAACUGGACCAUAACUGACGCUGAGGUGCGAAAGCGUGGGGAGCAAACAGGAUUAGAUACCCUGGUAGUCCACGCCGUAAACGAUGGAUGCUAGCCGUUAGCCACGCUGUCGUGGUAGGUGGUCGGCGACGGUAACCCGUUUAACGUACACUCCCGUCCCGUCGGGGUAGGUACGGUCGGCGAACGAAGUUAAAACGUUAACGUAAAGUAGUAAGUUAGUUACGGUCGUUGAGACGUUGCCGACGGACGACGACGAGGGGAGGUUAGG
RNAcentral lists this ribosomal RNA (639 nucleotides) under uncultured bacterium. Its description in RNAcentral is "bacterial SSU rRNA". The stretch from base 1 to 525 matches the Rfam family "Bacterial small subunit ribosomal RNA", at positions 338 to 873 of the family's 1533-position model. The record is from RNAcentral.